This 66-nucleotide small RNA is filed under the name Cronobacter sakazakii. RNAcentral describes it as "partial RtT sRNA". It matches the Rfam family "RtT RNA", at positions 1 to 65 of the family's 130-position model. Rfam says of the family: This family represents a bacterial cis-regulatory element known as RtT RNA. The exact function of RtT is unknown although it is thought that it may be involved in changing the cellular response in relation to amino acid starvation. The record is from RNAcentral. Lineage: Bacteria; Pseudomonadati; Pseudomonadota; Gammaproteobacteria; Enterobacterales; Enterobacteriaceae.
UAUGCUAUGGACCGGGGAAGGAUGAGAAGCUUCGACGAAGGUUCGAGUCGAGCGACAGCGAGACAA